Molecule: ribosomal RNA, 497 nt
Filed under: uncultured bacterium
Lineage: Bacteria
Description: partial 16S ribosomal RNA
Rfam family: Bacterial small subunit ribosomal RNA
Source: RNAcentral
GAUGAACGCUGGCGGCGUGCCUAAUACAUGCAAGUCGAGCGAACGGACGCGAAGCUUGCUUCUCUGUUGUUAGCGGCGGACGGGUGAGUAACACGUGGAUCAUCUACCUAUCAGACUGGGAUCACCACGGAACACCGGAGAUAAUACCGGAUAAUAUCUUGCACCGCAUGGGUCAAUAGUGAAAGACGGUGUUUCUGUCACUUAUAGAUGCAUCUGCGCUGCAUUAGCUAGUUGGUAAGUUAACGGCUUACCAAGGCAACUAUGCAUAGCCGACCUGAGAGAGUGGUCGCCCGCACGAGAACGGGACCGCGGUCCAGGCGCCUACGGUAGGCAGCAGAAUGGUACCGGCGGCAGAGGGCGGAAGCCUGACGGAAUGGCGCCGCGUGAGAGAUGAAGGUCUUCGGAUCGUAAAACUCUGUUACGAGUGAAGAACAGAUGUGUAAGGAACUGUAGACAUCGUGACGGUACCUAAUCAGAAAGCCACGGCUAACUACGUG